CCCUGCCAUUUGUACACACCGCCCGUCGCUACUACCGAUUGGAUGGUUUAGUGAGGUCCUCGGAUCGGCCCCGCUGAGGUCGGUCACGGCCCUGGCGGAGCGCCGAGAAGACGAUCAAACUUGACUAU
This 128-nucleotide ribosomal RNA is filed under the name uncultured eukaryote. RNAcentral describes it as "partial small subunit ribosomal RNA". It matches the Rfam family "Eukaryotic small subunit ribosomal RNA", at positions 1651 to 1772 of the family's 1831-position model. The record is from RNAcentral.